Molecule: long non-coding RNA, 2509 nt
Filed under: Haliotis rufescens (red abalone)
Lineage: Eukaryota; Metazoa; Mollusca; Gastropoda; Lepetellida; Haliotidae
Description: uncharacterized LOC124125282
Source: RNAcentral
AUCCUUCCUUCUCAAAAUGUAAAACUCUGAUGUUUCAAGGAGACCCAGAGACUAUCAGGUGCUCGGUGACAGGAGGGAAUCCUGUAGCUACAAUCACGUGGUCCUGUCUGGGCACUGGAUCAGCAUCGGUCAGUGACAGUGGUCAGACCAAGACAUCUACUCUCUCCUUCACUGUCAGCAGGAGUCAGACCAGUCAACUGUGUCAGUGUCUGGGGGCGUGACAGUAUAGAGGAUACAACCUCAGAUAUGAGGAACUUCAAUGUCAUUUGUCCCACAAACCCACAACCGCUCAAUGCCGAAAAUGACUUCACAGGUGUAAUAGCAGGAAGCACAAUAGGUACCUUCCUUCCUACCUUGCUGAUUGAAGGACUAGCUCUGACUGUCCUCUAUAGGAAGGGGUUCAGGUUUGGAAAAGUCUUGAAGGUAUGUUGUUAAAUAUCAUGUUACCUUAAAACAGUAUCCCAAGUACAAUGAAAAGGUGGUGUGGCAAUAUUUUUAGAAGAGAUGUUCCAUUAAAAGUGACGUCACUUGAUAAACAUGAAUGAUAAGCUUAGAAGUGAAAGUUACCCACGAAUCUAAAUAAUUACUGACUCAAACUAAACGCGCACAGUUUUGGAAUGUAUAUCGAAUUAAUGACAGCAUAAUAUAAACUGUUGUGCACCAGUAACUGCUUCUAUUCAGUACGUUUGUUAUAUUAGGUCAUUAGCGUUUCACAUGUCUUAUUCUCCCUUUGCAAUUUUUUCCACAUACCCAAGUUGACAUUUGUAAUGUGUGUAUGACAGAGUACACUAUAAUGAAUUCUCUUUUUUCAGGAACUGCUUCACACAAAAGGUAGACAAAAUGUAUGAAUAAAACAUUUUCAAAUAAUUUCCUCUGUAAUACAGUAAAUAUCAUUUACAAAAAUCAUAUAUUAAAGAUGUUUCUAUUAUAAAUUGCAAUAAACCGACCUCACUUCACUUUUGUAGAACCAGGAAUCCCGAAACUGAAGAAAUGGAAAACACAGGGUAUUCAUCCUUGGGUAGGUUGAAAACAGAUGUUCAGAUAGAUUGUUUUGGUCACGAAUAUGCCUGUACCGACUCCAGCUGAUAAACCGAUAUUAUAUGUUCAUAUUGAUUUGUUACAGAUUAAAUCAACAGUCCAACUCAGUACUCAAGCAUGGAUAAAGAGGCGUCUGAAUAGGAACAUUACACACAGUUAAAGAUUUGUGAGAACACAAACGGUAUAUUGAUACUUUGACAUUAUAUAUACCAUAGCAGUUCUCAGUCAGUAAACUCAGUGAAGGUACUGCAAGAUCAUCGGUGUGCUAUUAAACGUUGUGUUACUUUUUAGACGGGCAUAUAACAUUAGUGUUUGUUCUUUGGAAAUGCGUUACAAGUAAUAUUUUCAGUCUAGGUAAAAGCAGAAACAAGUACAUACGAAGACAUGACUGAAGCUACCCCAAGUAUCUUACGAGUCAAUAGCGUAUCGCCAUAUCAGAACAGCGGUGCUCAAUCUCAAGAUCCUGACUAAGUGAACAAGUAAACAUGCAGUAAAUGUGAUACCAUCACUGGACAGUACUACACAGUGUGUGAACUGGUAUUUUUGUUUACCUCUCAUGUAGCGUAUAUUUCAUGUUCACAUGUGACUGUUAUCUUAUAGUAUUUUCCUCUGUUAUUUAAUAUAUUAACUGUGUUGCAUUAUAUUAACAUAUAACAACAGACUGUUAUAUCCCUAACACCUGCAUAGGCUUUAAUUGGCUGAUACAAACUUUCUGGUGCUAAAUUUGAUGCAUUUUCUAUGUCACUUUUUCCUACGUUUGUUUACAAUGAGGGGAUACCUCAUCAGUACAGUAAACUUGUACCUUGUUUGUACAACAGAUGAGCACCUGCGAGGCGAUUUAACUAUGAAUGAUCUAAAAAAGCAAAACAUUUCAACUCCAUAUAGCAUCCUACCUAUAAUAUUGUAAAAGCUUGCAUUUGGUCUAUUAUGUUUGAAAUGCUGUCAGGUGAGCUAGCCUUCCCAAAUUAACAUCUUCAAUCUCAUACUUUCAUAUGACUACACCCUUACAUUUGUGCUUGUCCAGCUUAGCCUCUGGUUGAUCUACAGGGAUAAAUUUUCUUGAGUCAUGAAGACUGAUGCCGGCGAUAAUCAGUUUGCUUGUUACAAACAUGUCUGCUAGCCCUGGUUUUGCUAUUUCACUUUACAUUUUUUAAUCAUCUGAGCGCAAAACUUGUUGUUUCGUCGAUUUAAGAUAUUUAUAUGUCACAAGAUGUGAACUGAAGACGACGACAUAAUGACGGAAGUUUUCCAUUAGCUUUGUUCGUACAAAUAAUGUAGCGGUCUAUAUGUUAGUUUGGUUUUCUGGUAUGGACGUCGGAAGUUACUGUAUGUUCACAUUAUAUGCGUGUUGUUGCCUUAAUCAUAAUGACAUAUUGACUAGCUUAAUGUUGUAUAUGAUUACUUAUUGCAUUUUAUUACAAAUUGUACUUACUGGAGGUUAUAACGAGGCACCUUCAUUGUCUUCUUUGUA